Long non-coding RNA from Lucilia cuprina (Australian sheep blowfly), 368 nucleotides. RefSeq lists it as uncharacterized. NCBI's taxonomy places the organism in Eukaryota, Metazoa, Arthropoda, Insecta, Diptera, Calliphoridae. The transcript is spliced from 2 exons. The record is from RefSeq and is a predicted model, not a curated record.
UUGAAGUGUCAACUAAAUACUAUUCUUAAAAAUGAAAUUUUUUACUUGUUACAUAAUUUUAUUAUUGAGUGUCAUCGUCUGUGUCAUGGGCAAGCCGCCAAGAAUAAAGUUUCCGAAAAUAAAUCCUUGUGGAGGAAAUAUUGCGGACUGUGUGGAUAUUGCCUUAAAUGUAAUUGAAUCUAUAGAAAGUCUUACUUAAAAAUUGUUUAUUAUAUCAAAGUUUUGUUAAGUAAAAAAUUGAAUUCUAUAGUUGUGACUGUGAAACAGCAAUAUCGUAGAAAAGAAACGUCUAUAAUAUGAAAAACUUUGUAAUUAUUACUUCAACAUUAUGAAUAUUUUAAAAUAAAAUUAUAUAUCAUUUAUUGCAA